Molecule: ribosomal RNA, 386 nt
Filed under: uncultured bacterium
Lineage: Bacteria
Description: bacterial SSU rRNA
Rfam family: Bacterial small subunit ribosomal RNA
Source: RNAcentral
GACGAACGCUGGCGGCGUGCUUAACACAUGCAAGUCGAGCGGUAAGGCCCUUUCGGGGGUACACGAGCGGCGAACGGGUGAGUAACACGUGGGUGACCUGCCCUUAGCUCUGGGAUAAGCCUGGGAAACUGGGUCUAAUACCGGAUAUGACUCCAUGACGCAUGUUGUGGGGUGGAAAGCCUUGUGCGGCUAGGGAUGGGCCCGCGGCCUAUCAGCUUGUUGGUGGGGUGAUGGCCACCAAGGCAACGACGGGUAGCCGGCCUGAGAGGGCGACCGGCCACACUGGGACUGAGACACGGCCCAGACUCCUACGGGAGGCAGCAGUGGGGAAUCUUGCGCAAUGGGCGAAAGCCUGACGCAGCGACGCCGCGUGGGGAUGACGGCCU